RNAcentral lists this unclassified non-coding RNA (229 nucleotides) under Hevea brasiliensis (rubber tree). Lineage: Eukaryota; Viridiplantae; Streptophyta; Magnoliopsida; Malpighiales; Euphorbiaceae. The record is from RNAcentral.
GUCGCACAUCAAUAUUGUGACACUCAAAGGACUAUCAAUUGGCAAGCAAACAAAGUACAAUAGAAAAACUAAAUAAUUGAUGAGCACAUAUAUGAAUAUAAAUAAAUGACUCCAUACCAAAUUUGGUUGUUGCAAUUGACACUAAUAUGAGAAAAUGUAUAUAUAAUUUACAAAAUUACAAUUUUUUUAAAAAAAAUGAAAGUUUACUUUUUGUUAUCAUUAAUUAAAA